GAUGAACGCUAGCGGCAGGCCUAAUACAUGCAAGUCGAGGGGCAGCGGGUGUAGCAAUACAUGCCGGCGACCGGCGCACGGGUGCGUAACACGUAUGUAAUCUACCUUUUACUGGAGAAUAGCCCGAAGAAAUUCGGAUUAAUACUCCAUAACAUUAUUGAGGGGCAUCUCUUGAUAAUUAAAGUUCCGACGGUAAAAGAUGAGCAUGCGCGAUAUUAGCUAGUUGGUGAGGUAACGGCUCACCAAGGCGACGAUAUCUAGGGGUACUGAGAGGUUACACCCCCACACUGGUACUGAGACACGGACCAGACUCCUACGGGAGGCAGCAGUAAGGAAUAUUGGACAAUGGUCGCAAGACUGAUCCAGCCAUGCCGCGUGCAGGAUGAAUGCCCUAUGGGUUGUAAACUGCUUUUGUACGGGAAUAAACCCCUCUACGUGUAGAGGGCUGAAUGUACCGUAAGAAUAAGGGUCGGCUAACUUCGUGC
RNAcentral lists this ribosomal RNA (485 nucleotides) under uncultured bacterium. Its description in RNAcentral is "bacterial SSU rRNA". It matches the Rfam family "Bacterial small subunit ribosomal RNA", at positions 28 to 508 of the family's 1533-position model. The record is from RNAcentral.